This 380-nucleotide long non-coding RNA is filed under the name Salvia miltiorrhiza (redroot sage). RNAcentral's name for it is "long non-coding RNA (SMIL_LNC002803)". The record is from RNAcentral. Lineage: Eukaryota; Viridiplantae; Streptophyta; Magnoliopsida; Lamiales; Lamiaceae.
AAGCAUGCCAUGUCCUCAGGGCACAAAAGAAAUAAGAAGAGUUGAGAAAACGUCCCUGAUUAUCGGCCUUGAGAAACUGAAGCAUCGUGCGAGGUGGUGAAGAGGGGAAUUCGCGGUCUGUGGCAGAGUUAGAACUGCAGCGCUGAAGUCAAAACAUGAACACCACAUCAAAGUAUCCGCGCAAGCAACCAAAACUUAGGAAAGACAAAACAAAAACGGAAAACAAAGAACAAGAAAAACAAAAACAAAAACAAACCACGGUGGGUUGCCUCCCACCAAGCGCUAGUUUUAAAGUCGCCAGCCCGACGUAGAGGAUCCCUUAACCAAAAUCGCUAUGAAACGUCAGCUGAAUUAGUCCUCGUGAAAGCACAUCAUCCUCC